Long non-coding RNA from Helianthus annuus (common sunflower), 599 nucleotides. RefSeq lists it as uncharacterized. The record is from RefSeq and is a predicted model, not a curated record. NCBI's taxonomy places the organism in Eukaryota, Viridiplantae, Streptophyta, Magnoliopsida, Asterales, Asteraceae. The transcript is spliced from 3 exons.
UCAAAACCCCUAGGAAGGACCCAAGCUCCCACAAACCCUAAUUCACUCAAUUAUACUUCAAAUCUUGAGAGAAAUUCAAUUAGGAUUCAAUCCUAAGCUAAAGUCUUGACAAUAACCUUAGGAGAUCAAAAGGUGAUUUGGGUGGAUCAUCAAGUGGGCAAGGCGGAACGGAUACCCGUUUAAAAGAAAAGCUUUAAAAAGGUAACAAUAACAACUUGCGGAUGAAGAUCAAGCUAUAUAGUAAUACCGAACACGCGCGCAAAGAAGCUUCCGCAAUUGAAACUACUUCUUUUCUCACAAAAUGUUUUGGAAACGUUAGUGAAUGUCAUUGUAAAGUUUUGAAACUUAUAUAAAAGUCGUUAAUUCGAUCUUUUACUAUUAAAGAGAAUUAUAAAUGUAUCAUUUAUUAUAUAAAUGAUAAAGUAAGCAUGAAGGGUCUUACACAAAGGGAAAUUUCAUCCUAUCCGAAAGUAUGUGGAACUAAGGAAGAUGCGGUUUUAUGGGUUUCUAAUAAAGCUAAGAUCCCACCCCUAGUAUGGGAUAAAUGGGUAGAUGUCGAUGUAUUAGACUUGCUUUAGAGUGACCUUUUGUUUUUCUUC